Long non-coding RNA from Capsicum annuum, 1168 nucleotides. RefSeq lists it as uncharacterized. The transcript is spliced from 3 exons. The record is from RefSeq and is a predicted model, not a curated record. Lineage: Eukaryota; Viridiplantae; Streptophyta; Magnoliopsida; Solanales; Solanaceae.
AGAACCUAGUUCGGAUGGAACAAAAUAUUCCUAUAAUUACAAAUAAUCUAGAGAAGAUUCUUCCACCUGGAUUUUGGGAUGUGAUAGAAUAUCUUCCUGUACAUCUUGUGCAUGAAGCUCGUCUGGGAGGUUCGGUUCAAGGUCGAUGGAUAUAUCCAUUUGAGAGGUAAUUAUUGUAAAUCUUAAUAUAUUUCUCUCCAUUAAUGCUUUUUUUAGAAAUAUCAUAAUAUAAUAUUAUAUAGGACUAUUGGCAAGAAUAAACAGAGUAUCAAGCAACAACAUAGAAUUGAAGGCUCAAUGUGUGAAGCCUAUCUUGCUAAGGAAACAUCCAAUUUUUGUUCGUAUUACUUUGCAUGUGAUGUUCCAUGUUCACAAAAUAGGACUAAUCGCCGCGAUGAUGGUGGUGAGGUUGCUAAAGAGCCGCUAUCAAUCUUUGAUCAACCAAGCGAAGGUUCGAAAAAUCGUACAAGGAGGCAUCUUAGUUCACUGGAGUUUAACUCUGCAUCAAUACAUGUCUUGUUGAAUUGCCCUCAAGUUAAACCAUUUCUUGAGAAAAGGAGCUUGGGAGGCCGAUAACACAGGUGAGGUUUUCAAGGCUACACACACAGGGAAGAAGAAAACCCCUGGAGAUCCUGAUGUUUGGGUUGAGCCACGAGCUCAACUGACCUAUAGGAUUUUCGCCGGAUUCUGCCAGAUAAUAGUCAAGACCUGCCACUUAGCCAAGAGCAGAAUGAGAGAAUAUGGUUAGAUACGGUUGGUGGUCCGAGUAGGUAUGGGUAUGCUUAUGGCUUGCCACAAGGAACCUUUCGUGAAUUUAAUUCGGAACGAGACGAUUUUGGCUUUGAAGCAGCAGAUAGCUGAGUUAUCUAAUGAUGUUAAGUUUUCAAAGGCAACGGAAAAGUAAAGGGAUAUACAAUAUGCGGGAAUGAAGGCCCAAUUCAAUUUAUUACUUGCUUCGGGAGGGAUUACCCCUUGUCCUGUGAUGCAGUUUGCCCUCCUCGACCACCCCAAUCUCUGUCUAUUUCACAUGGAGUAUAUGGUCAAUACAGAGAUGUGACUGAGGAGCCCAACAAUGAUGAAGAUGAUAAGGAUUAUUACGUGGACAAUACACCACCGCGUUGUUAAAAUCGGGUGUUGUGUUAGAUAAUCUAAACUAUAUACUUUAUGA